CAGGAGGGAAAUUGCCCAAUAAUAAAAAUUCAAGGAAGAAAUUAGCCAAUUAUAAAAUAUUAAGAGGAUAAUCGGUUAAAAUUAAAGUUAGGAAAGAAAUUGACAGUUCUUUACAAGUUCGAGGUAGAAGUCGACCCAAUUCCCCAAAUGUGUCAGUGAGAACUGAGAAAUGAUAUUGAUUUCAAGUUAUGAUAUUUCAAAUAUUUGUACUGGGUAGGUGUUCAUACUAUAAUCGGUUAUUUAACAUAUUGGGGCCGGAUUGGGCCGACCGGCCCGACCAUAAUCCAAAAGGGAUCAAAACGUUACAAAGUUUACCGCCACCAACCAUUUUCUCACCAGACAAAAUCCAACACAAAAGGAGGAAAGAAAACUCCCCCCCAAUCUAAAACCAUGAAAUCUCUGUCUCCAGUCCGACCAAUCACAACCCUUCCAAAACUCCCUCCUCCCACCUCUUGCCCGAAAAUCUCCGCUCUAGUCAAUGUCGCUACGCCUGCGCUCAAUUUCCGGGUUCCACGACACCUGAUUUGCCUGCGGAAUGAUACCCGGAAGCCCCAAACUGCUGUAAGAUCUCAGUUUUCUUCAAACCCACAGAGCAAUGAAGACCCAGAUGCCCAAGUUCAAGACCUUGUGGUCCCACAACAUUGGUUGAUCCCCCUCCAAGGCCUUGGAGGAAUCAGAGUGGCUGAGGGUUACUUUGCACAAGUGGUUGGACGAUGAGUACUGCCCGGAAUCCACCAAUGUCGAAAUCAGCAAGAUUGCUGCUCAAUCGUUCUACAAAUCUCUACUUGAAAAACAGACGGAUUUGGGUGAGAUUUUGUUGAAGAUGGCCAUAGAAUUGGAAUCCAUUUCGUACCAGGAAAGCUUCCACGGCGCGUUCUCAUCAGCGAACGCCGCCGUGAAUUUGAUUUCCCAACGGAUAGAGCAGGCGUAAUUGUCACUCGGUCCAGUUCAAGGUUUUCAAAAUUUAUCUUGUCCUGCAUUUCCUAUGUGGUAGUAUAUGUUCUCUCGAAACGUCCACCUUUUAAGCAGUAAGUUUUCUGUAAAGAACGGACGUCCUGCAGAGAGAAUCUUCGAUAUAAUGAAUA
Molecule: long non-coding RNA, 1085 nt
Organism: Pyrus x bretschneideri (Chinese white pear)
Lineage: Eukaryota; Viridiplantae; Streptophyta; Magnoliopsida; Rosales; Rosaceae
Exons: 2
Source: RefSeq, a predicted model, not a curated record